This 492-nucleotide ribosomal RNA is filed under the name uncultured bacterium. RNAcentral describes it as "partial 16S ribosomal RNA". It matches the Rfam family "Bacterial small subunit ribosomal RNA", at positions 29 to 507 of the family's 1533-position model. The record is from RNAcentral.
AGUGAACGCUGGCGGUAGGCCUAACACAUGCAAGUCGAACGGCAGCACAGUAAGAGCUUGCUCUUACGGGUGGCGAGUGGCGGAUGGGUGAGGAAUACAUCGCAAUCCACUUUUUCGUGGGGGAUAACGUAGGGAAACUUACGCUAAUACCGCAUAUGACCUACGGGUGAAAGCAGGGGAUCUUUGGACCUUGCGUGAUUGAAUGAGCUGAUGUCGGAUUAGCUAGUUGGCGGGGUAAAGGCCCACCAAGGCGACGAUCCGUAGCUGGUCUGAGAGGAUGAUCAGCCACACUGGAACUGAGACACGGUCCAGACUCCUACGGGAGGCAGCAGUGGGGAAUAUUGGACAAUGGGCGCAAGCCUGAUCCAGCCAUACCGCGUGGGUGAAGAAGGCCUUCGGGUUGUAAAGCCCUUUUGUUGGGAAAGAAAAGCAGCAGGAUAAUACCCGGCUGUUCUGACGGUACCCAAAGAAUAAGCACCGGCUAACUUCGUG